GGUAAAUUUUACGAGUCUUCUAAACUUGUUAAGAGAAAAAGGUUCUCGUUUACUU
Molecule: transfer RNA, 55 nt
Filed under: Ascaridia columbae
Lineage: Eukaryota; Metazoa; Nematoda; Chromadorea; Rhabditida; Ascaridiidae
Description: tRNA-Ser
Source: RNAcentral